This 745-nucleotide small RNA is filed under the name Pan troglodytes (chimpanzee). RNAcentral describes it as "retained intron". Lineage: Eukaryota; Metazoa; Chordata; Mammalia; Primates; Hominidae. The record is from RNAcentral.
AUCUCACUACACCAAGAAUUCUAGGUACUUAGUAGGCCCUCACUAAAUCUGCAAAUGAUUGAUAAAUACUGUUCCACUGGAUUUUGAUUUCUUUUUGAACAUUUAAUGGACUCCCUAAAAGAGCCGUCUUACUUCUGAACUUGGUGAACUUGUAUUUGGUUAUUGAAUGAGUUUGCAUGAGUCUUUGGGGACAAUGGGAGAAAAACUUUGAAAUUUCAUCAGUUUAUCCAUUGUGGAUCUAGUUUAGUAUAUUUCUGUCAGAUCAGCAAAUCUCGUUUUCAAAGGAAGGUAAAAUCUAGCGUAUUAGGGAAGGAAUUUUAAAGCAUUGUCUUUUUAUUACACUAACACCCUCCUGUCUUCUAUUUUUUAGGAAAUAUUCUGCUGUACGUAGAGAUGGCUCUUUCCAUUAUGUCCACAGUACGCCCUUUGGCAACUAUUCGUUCAUCUGUGUAGAUGCCACUGUAAAUCCAGGGCCUAAGAGACCCUAUAAUUUCUUUGGAAUUUUAGAUAAGAAAAAGAUGGAGGAGCUCUUAUUACUGGCCAAGGAAAGCAGUCGGAGCAACCAUACAAUUUGGUUUGGACACUUUACAACAUCCACUAUUCUUUCUCCAUCACCAGGAAUCCGGUCAAUAAUGAGUUCGGCUAUAGCUUAUUUGUGUGGACAUCUCCAUACACUUGGUGGACUGAUGCCUGUUUUGCACACUCGUCACUUCCAGGGCACUUUGGAACUUGAGGUGGGAGACUG